This 72-nucleotide transfer RNA is filed under the name Syntrophaceticus schinkii. It matches the Rfam family "tRNA". From Rfam's summary of the family: Transfer RNA (tRNA) molecules are approximately 80 nucleotides in length. Lineage: Bacteria; Bacillati; Bacillota; Clostridia; Thermoanaerobacterales; Thermoanaerobacterales Family III. Incertae Sedis. The record is from Rfam by way of RNAcentral.
GCGGGAAUAGCUCAGUGGUAGAGCACCGGCUUUCCAAGUCGGGGGUCACGGGUUCGAAUCCUGGGUCCCGCU